CCGCCGACCUUGCGCUCUGCUCCCCAGGCCGGCGGCUCCGGAGGGCUCGGGGCGGCCCGGGUGUCGGACGCGAGCGGGGCCGCGGCGGCCGGAGCUCCCCGCGCAGGUUGAAAGCUACAGGUAGCAGCCGUGGAAGCUGGAAUAUUCUGAUGCUGGUUAUUUUUACUGACCUACAGCAACUCUGCGGCCUAAGGUCAUUGAUUCUACGAAUAUGUUAGAAGGCCAUCAUUGCUAGAGAGGAAGAGAAAGGAAGUGCACGUCGAGGCACUGAGUUGAGGAUGUAGAAGCUCCGAUAGGGAUGGCCAGGGAGGACAGAUGACCAGAGACCUGGAGAUGCUGGGAUCCUGUAUGGACUUGGGUAAAGGCCAUUGCAGAUGUGAUUAAACUAAAGAUCUCAAGAUGGAGAGAUUAUCUGGACUAUCUGAGUGGACCGUAAAUAUAAUUACAAUUGUCCUUAGAAGAGGGAGACCCAGACUGACUGGAUAGCAGAACAGAAGAAAGCAGGGCUACAGCUGAGGCUAUGCUGCUGGCUCUGGAGAGGAGGAGGGAUGCAUGGAAUGAACCUCUGGAAGUGGGAAAAGGCAAAGAGAUGGGUUGUUCCCUAGAGCCUACAAAAGGAGCGUGAGCCUGCAGACACCUUCACGUCAUCCCAGUGAGACUGAUUUCAAACUGUAAGACAAUAAACCUGUGCUUUUUGAAGCCA
Canis lupus familiaris (dog) is the source of this 703-nucleotide long non-coding RNA. RefSeq lists it as uncharacterized. The transcript has 4 exons. The record is from RefSeq and is a predicted model, not a curated record. NCBI's taxonomy places the organism in Eukaryota, Metazoa, Chordata, Mammalia, Carnivora, Canidae.